GUGCUGCACCUAAUAUUAUCAGUUAUUUUAACUAUAUUAAGUAAUGUAGGAUUGGUAAGGACGGAACGUAUGAAAAGAGUGUGGAACGGAGCGUUAAGAUGUGAGUGAGAGAAAACGGAAAGAAAGGGAGAAGAGAAUGACAGACAGAAUGACAGAGAAAAGGAAAAUGGCGAAGACGGUUAAAAAAUGAGCAAGGCGUAAUGAAAGUGUUAAUUAAUUUUUAAUUAUUAUUAUAACAGAUGAUUUUGGAACAGUGGAAGUUGUAUUUUAUGCACUACGAUCCCUAUUCUGCAUAUAUGUAUAAUUUAAGUUUUUUAGCUUCAGCAUCAUAGUCAUUUGUAUCACGAUGACAUUUAUAGAAGAUGCGAUUUCAUCGAGGCUCAACGAUUCAGUACAGACAAACCAGAGCUCUCCGCCAAUGAACAUGCCUAUCAUCAUUUUAACCACUGCGCUGUAGACGAGAUAAGAUACGCUGCGGUCCAACGACGAUAGACCUGUAUAAGUAAUGAUAUUUUUAUUUAUCAUGUUCAUUAUUAUCAUUCGAAAUUUAAAUCAAUUUGGUGUGAGUCGAAUUUAAUGAAUUAUUAAUUUAAUUGAAUGAAAAAACAGAACCGUUUUCGUAAUUCAAUUCGAUUACGGUAUUUUUAUAUUUAUAUCGAUAUUUUUUUACUAUAUUAAUAUUGCUUUCUGAUGUAAAAAUAUUUUUAAGCUAUUGCAUAGCUUCUAUCGCGGGCCUUGAGCGCGCAGACUGAAUCAAGAAAUUCCGUAACGAAAAUAACCUGACACCCCACUACGCCUACUAUGUAGCGCGCGUUCAACACAUUCACACGUUGCGCUGGUAUAGUGUUUGUGAAUAAGCGCGAGGCGUGACGUCGCACUGCAUGAGCAACAUGAAAAGUCUGCCCAUCUCUCUCUCACGCGGUCUAGCUUAUGAGUGUGAAGGGGACAGUUAAUGUUUUGCUUUUGUUAAUGUUUAUAAAUAUAGCGUGGUCUUAUUUUUA
Molecule: long non-coding RNA, 1001 nt
Organism: Bombyx mori (domestic silkworm)
Lineage: Eukaryota; Metazoa; Arthropoda; Insecta; Lepidoptera; Bombycidae
Exons: 2
Source: RefSeq, a predicted model, not a curated record